AGCGAACGCUGGCGGCAGGCUUAACACAUGCAAGUCGAGCGGGCAUCCUCGUUGUGUCAGCGGCAGACGGGUGAGUAACGCGUGGGAACGUGCCCUUCGGUUCGGAAUAACUCAGGGAAACUUGAGCUAAUACCGGAUACGUGCGAGAGCAGAAAGGUUUAUCUGCCGAAGGAUCGGCCCGCGUCUGAUUAGCUAGUUGGUGAGGUUACGGCUCACCAAUGCGACGAUCAGUAGCUGGUCUGAGAGGAUGACCAGCCACACUGGGACUGAGACACGGCCCAGACUCCUACGGAAGGCAGCAGUGGGGAAUAUUGGACAAUGGGGGCAACCCUGAUCCAGCCAUGCCGCGUGAGUGAUGACGGCCGUAGGGUUGUAAAGCUCUUUUCUCCGGGACGAUAAUGACGGUACCGGAGGAAUAAGCCCCGGCUAACUUCGUG
RNAcentral lists this ribosomal RNA (437 nucleotides) under uncultured bacterium. RNAcentral's name for it is "partial 16S ribosomal RNA". It matches the Rfam family "Bacterial small subunit ribosomal RNA", at positions 29 to 507 of the family's 1533-position model. The record is from RNAcentral.